GACGAACGCUGGCGGCGUGCUUAACACAUGCAAGUCGUACGGUAAGGCCCUUUCGGGGGUACACGAGUGGCGCACGGGUGAGUAACACGUGAGUAACCUGCCCACAACUUUGGGAUAACGCUAGGAAACUGGUGCUAAUACUGGAUAUGUUCUCCUGCUGCAUGGUGGGGGUUGGAAAGCUCCGGCGGUUGUGGAUGGACUCGCGGCCUAUCAGCUUGUUGGUGGGGUAGUGGCCUACCAAGGCGGCGACGGGUAGCCGGCCUGAGAGGGUGACCGGCCACAUUGGGAAUGAGAUACGGCCCAGAAUACUACGGGAGGAAGCAGUGGGGAAUAUUGCACAAUGGGCGCAAGCCGGAUGCAGCAACGCCGCGUGCGGGAUGACGGCCUUCGGGUUGUAAACCGCUUUCAGCAGGGACGAAGCUUUUUGUGACGGUACCUGCAGAAGAAGCACCGGCUAACUACGUG
Molecule: ribosomal RNA, 465 nt
Filed under: uncultured bacterium
Lineage: Bacteria
Description: partial 16S ribosomal RNA
Rfam family: Bacterial small subunit ribosomal RNA
Source: RNAcentral